Molecule: ribosomal RNA, 373 nt
Filed under: Meyerozyma caribbica
Lineage: Eukaryota; Fungi; Ascomycota; Pichiomycetes; Serinales; Debaryomycetaceae
Description: partial large subunit ribosomal RNA
Rfam family: Eukaryotic large subunit ribosomal RNA
Source: RNAcentral
GGUUGGCUCUUGUCUAUGUUUCUUGGAACAGGACGUCACAGAGGGUGAGAAUCCCGUGCGAUGAGAUGCCCAAUCCUAUGUAAGGUGCUUUCGAAGAGUCGAGUUGUUUGGGAAUGCAGCUCUAAGUGGGUGGUAAAUUCCAUCUAAAGCUAAAUAUUGGCGAGAGACCGAUAGCGAACAAGUACAGUGAUGGAAAGAUGAAAAGAACUUUGAAAAGAGAGUGAAAAAGUACGUGAAAUUGUUGAAAGGGAAGGGUUUGAGAUCAGACUCGAUAUUUUGUGAGCCUUGCCUUCGUGGCGGGGUGACCCGCAGCUUAUCGGGCCAGCAUCGGUUUGGGCGGUAGGAUAAUGGCGUAGGAAUGUGACUUUGCUUC